This 253-nucleotide ribosomal RNA is filed under the name uncultured bacterium. Its description in RNAcentral is "partial 16S ribosomal RNA". It matches the Rfam family "Bacterial small subunit ribosomal RNA", at positions 524 to 776 of the family's 1533-position model. The record is from RNAcentral.
UACGUAGGUGGCAAGCGUUGUCCGGAUUUAUUGGGUUUAAAGGGUGCGUAGGCGGUCCUAUAAGUCAGUGCUGAAAUAUCCCGGCUUAACCGGGAGGGUGGCAUUGAUACUGCAGGACUUGAGUGAAGUCGAGGUAGGCGGAAUUGACGGUGUCGCGGUGAAAUGCUUAGAUAUCGUCAAGAACACCGAUAGUGAAGACAGCUUACUAGACUUCAACUGACGCUGAGGCACGAAAGUGUGGGGAUCAAACAGG